Molecule: ribosomal RNA, 460 nt
Filed under: uncultured bacterium
Lineage: Bacteria
Description: partial 16S ribosomal RNA
Rfam family: Bacterial small subunit ribosomal RNA
Source: RNAcentral
CCUACGUGCGGCAGCAGUGAGGAAUCUUGGUCAAUGGCCGGAAGGCUGAACCAGCCCUGCCGCGUGAAGGUCAGUGCCCUAUGGGCGUUAAACUUCUUUUGUGCGGGAGCAAUAAUGGUCACGUGUGGCCAGACGAGAGUACCGUACGAAUAAGCAUCGGCUAACUCCGUGCCAGCAGCCGCGGUAAUACGGGGGAUGCAAGCGUUAUCCGGAUUUAUUGGGUUUAAAGGGUGGGUAGGCUGUGAGGUAAGUCAGCGGUGAAAUGCCCCCGCUCAACGGGGUGAAGUGCCAUUGAUACUGCCUUGCUGGAAUGCGGAUGCCGUGGGAGGAAUGGGUGGUGUAGCGGUGAAAUGCAUAGAUAUCACACAGAACACCGAUUGCGAAGGCAUCUCACGAAUCCGCGAUUGACGCUGAUGCACGAAAGCGUGGGGAUCAAACAGGAUUAGAUACCCUGGUAGUC